This 99-nucleotide transfer RNA is filed under the name Deltaproteobacteria bacterium. RNAcentral's name for it is "tRNA-Sec". It matches the Rfam family "Selenocysteine transfer RNA". Lineage: Bacteria; Pseudomonadati; Myxococcota; Myxococcia. RNAcentral also lists the same sequence under 3 other names. The record is from RNAcentral.
GGUAGCGCUUCCGGAUCUGGUGACUGGCCCGGUCUUCAAAACCGGUGGCGGGCGCUGAGAGGCGUCCUCGGUGGGUUCGAUUCCCAUGCGCUACCGCCA